This is a non-coding RNA of Paramuricea clavata, 72 nucleotides long. The record is from the annotation of a GenBank genome assembly. Lineage: Eukaryota; Metazoa; Cnidaria; Anthozoa; Malacalcyonacea; Plexauridae.
GACCGCGUAGCUCAGUUGGAAGAGCAUUGGGCUAGUAUUCCAAAGGUCGUAGGUUCGAUCCCGCCGUGGCCA